AUGGGCUGGAAUUUGACAAUUCUCUUUUUGGUGACAGCAUCUACAGCCACGGGUGUCCACUCUCAGGUCCAGCUGCAGCAGUCUGGGGCUCAGCUGGUGAAGCCAGGGUUCACAGUGAAGGUGUCCUGCAAGGCUUCUGGAUACAGCUUCACUGGUUACUAUAUGAGCUGGGUGAAACAAAAGCCUGGACAGGGCCUGGAGUGUAUUGGAAGGAUUGAUCAUGGAAACGGUGGUACUGGCUACAUCAGAAGUUCCAGGGCAAGGCCAAACUGACUGUAGACACAUCCUCCAGCACAGCCUACAUGGAGCUCUUCAGCCUGACAUCUCAGGACUCUGCUGUCUAUUACUGUGUGAGAGACACAGUGUUGCAAACACAUCCUGAGUUUGUCAGAAAACCUGGGGAGCAGGAAGCUGCCCCUGGACUGAGAUGA
This is a non-coding RNA of Cricetulus griseus (Chinese hamster), 431 nucleotides long. The record is from the annotation of a RefSeq genome assembly. NCBI's taxonomy places the organism in Eukaryota, Metazoa, Chordata, Mammalia, Rodentia, Cricetidae.